AACAUUCAUUGCUGUCGGUGGGUUGAGUUAAGAACACAAGCUCGCUGAACGAUGAAUGCAA
This 61-nucleotide microRNA precursor is filed under the name Xenopus laevis (African clawed frog). RNAcentral's name for it is "Xla-Mir-181-P2a3_pre stem-loop". Lineage: Eukaryota; Metazoa; Chordata; Amphibia; Anura; Pipidae. RNAcentral also lists the same sequence under 1 other name. The record is from RNAcentral.